Molecule: transfer RNA, 73 nt
Filed under: Chloroflexota bacterium
Lineage: Bacteria; Bacillati; Chloroflexota
Also listed under: 1 other name
Description: tRNA-Thr
Rfam family: tRNA
About the family: Transfer RNA (tRNA) molecules are approximately 80 nucleotides in length.
Source: RNAcentral
GCCACCGUAGCUCAGUUGGUAGAGCAGGCCACUCGUAAUGGUCAGGUCAUGGGUUCGAGUCCCAUCGGUGGCU